GUGACCUCAAAUCAGGUAGGACUACCCGCUGAACUUAAGCAUAUCAAUAAGCGGAGGAAAAGAAACUAACAAGGAUUCCCCUAGUAACUGCGAGUGAAGCGGGAAAAGCUCAAAUUUAAAAUCUGGCGGUCUUUUGGCUGUCCGAGUUGUAAUCUAGAGAAGUGUUAUCCGCGCUGGACCGUGUACAAGUCUCCUGGAAUGGAGCAUCAUAGAGGGUGAGAAUCCCGUCUUUGACAUGGACUACCAGGGCUUUGUGAUGCGCUCUCAAAGAGUCGAGUUGUUUGGGAAUGCAGCUCAAAAUGGGUGGUAAAUUCCAUCUAAAGCUAAAUAUUGGCGAGAGACCGAUAGCGAACAAGUACCGUGAGGGAAAGAUGAAAAGAACUUUGGAAAGAGAGUUAAACAGUACGUGAAAUUGCUGAAAGGGAAACGCUUGAAGUCAGUCGCGUCGUCCAGGGAUCAACCUUGCUUUUGCUUGGUGCACUUUCUGGUUCGAUGGGUCAGCAUCAAUUUUGACUGUUGGAAAAAGGUUGAGGGAAUGUGGCAUCUUUGGAUGUGUUUAUAGCCCUUGGUCACAUACAAUGGUUGGGAUUGAGGAACUCAGCACGCCGCAAGGCCGGGUUUUAAACCACGUACGUGCUUAGGAUGCUGGCAAUAUGGCUUUAAUCGACCCGUC
RNAcentral lists this ribosomal RNA (673 nucleotides) under Cortinarius alboviolaceus. Its description in RNAcentral is "eukaryotic LSU rRNA". It matches the Rfam family "Eukaryotic large subunit ribosomal RNA", at positions 1 to 653 of the family's 3401-position model. The record is from RNAcentral. Lineage: Eukaryota; Fungi; Basidiomycota; Agaricomycetes; Agaricales; Cortinariaceae.